AUGGUUUCAUAGAUGGAACUGUGAAACAACCAGCAGAUGACUCGCCGGAAAUUGAAGAUUGGUGGACAGUCAAUUCCAUGCUUGUCUCAUGGGUGUUCAACACCAUUGAGCCCUGUUUACGUUCAACUAUUUCUCAUAUGGAGAAUGUAAGAGAUCUAUGGGAGGACAUAAGGCACCGCUUCUCCAUUGGGAAUGGACUGAGAGUGCAGCAAUUGAGGUUAGAUUUGGUGAAUUGUAAGCUGGAUGGACAGACCAUUGUCAAUUACUAUGGACGGCUUAAAACCAUAGGGGAU
RNAcentral lists this unclassified non-coding RNA (293 nucleotides) under Hevea brasiliensis (rubber tree). The record is from RNAcentral. Lineage: Eukaryota; Viridiplantae; Streptophyta; Magnoliopsida; Malpighiales; Euphorbiaceae.